This 472-nucleotide ribosomal RNA is filed under the name uncultured bacterium. RNAcentral's name for it is "partial 16S ribosomal RNA". It matches the Rfam family "Bacterial small subunit ribosomal RNA", at positions 28 to 507 of the family's 1533-position model. The record is from RNAcentral.
GACGAACGCUGGCGGCGUGCUUAACACAUGCAAGUCGAACGCUGAAGCUUGGUGCUUGCACUGGGUGGAUGAGUGGCGAACGGGUGAGUAAUACGUGAGUAACCUGCCCUUGACUCUGGGAUAAGCCUGGGAAACUGGGUCUAAUACUGGAUACGACAUGUCACCGCAUGGUGGCGUGUGGAAAGGGUUUUACUGGUUUUGGAUGGGCUCACGGCCUAUCAGCUUGUUGGUGGGGUAAUGGCUCACCAAGGCGACGACGGGUAGCCGGCCUGGGAGGGUGACCGGCCACACUGGGACUGAGACACGGCCCAGACUCCUACGGGAGGCAGCAGUGGGGAAUAUUGCACAAUGGGCGAAAGCCUGAUGCAGCGACGCCGCGUGAGGGAUGACGGCCUUCGGGUUGUAAACCUCUUUCAGCACGGAAGAAGCGAAAGUGACGGUACGUGCAGAAGAAGCGCCGGCUAACUACGUG